AAUAAAAUUCAUUAAAUAUAUUUAAUUUUGUAGAAUAUUUUUCAAUAAUUAAAAUAAUAUUAUAUUUUAAAAAAUUUAGUAUACUAACAGAAAAAAAAAUAAUUUUUAUAUAAACAGUAUUGAAAAAGAAAAAUAUAAUUAUUUUAAAAAAAUUAAUAAAAUUUAUUACCUUUUGUAUCAGGGUUUAUUAAAAUUACUAAAUAAAUUUUUUUUUUCUCGAAAUAAAAUGAUCUAAUUAAUUAAUAUAGUUAAUAUAUAAAUAUUAUUAUAAAUUAUUAAUUAGAAAUGAUAGGUUUAUCAGAUUUUAAAUAUCUAGUUAUUUUAUAAAUAAAUUUAAUUUAAUUAAAAUUAUUUUUAAUAAAUUAAUUACUUAAUUUAUUAAUUAAUUUUAUAAAUAUUAUUAGGGAUAAACUUAAUAAUAAUAUUAACAUUAUUAUUUUGUAAAUUUAUUUUUAUAGAAAUAGAAAUUUUUAUUAAUAAAUAGUUUAUAAUAAUUAAUAUUAUAAAAAAAUAAUUUAUAAAAAAUUUAUUUAAUUAUAAAAUUAUUAAAUUUAAUAAAUUAAUUUAAUUAAUAAUGAUAAAAUUAGUAAAAUUAAAUAUAUAAUAUUAUAUAAAAUGAUAGAUUAUUUUAAGGAAUUAGGCAAAUACUUUUAUUCAACUGUUUAUUAAAAACAUAGUUUAAUAGAAUAUAAUAUUAAAUUAUUUCUGCUCAAUGAUUGUUAAUUAAAUAGCUGCAGUAUUUUAACUGUACAAAGGUAGCAUAAUCAAUUGUCUUUUUAUUAAAGUCUGGAAUGAAUGAAUUUAUGAAAUAAUAACUGUCUCAAAUUAAAUAAAAUUUAAAUUUUAUUAUUAGUAAAAAUUCUAAUAUAUUAUUAAAAGACGAGAAGACCCUAUAGAAUUUUAUAAAUUAUUUAAUUAAUUAAUUUAUUCAUAAAUUUAAUUAUUUAAUUAUUUAUUAUAUUGGGGGUAUAAAAAAAUUUAAAAAAUUUUUUUAAUAAAUUAAACAAAAAUAUUUGAAUAUUUUAUAUCUAAUAUUAUUAAAUUUAAAAUAAAUUACCUUAGGGAUAACAGCGUUAAAUUUUUAAAGAGUUCAUAUUGAUAAAAAUUAUUGCGACCUCGAUGUUGAAUUAAAAUAAAUUAUUAUCGUAGAUGAUAAUAUAAUUUAGUCUGUUCGACUAUUAAAAUUUUACAUGAUUUGAGUUUAGAUCGGCGUAAGCCAGAUCGGAUUCUAUCUUUAAUAAAUUCAUAAUAUUUUUGUACGAAAGGACUUAAUAUUAAUAAUAAUUAUUUAUAUAUUGAAUAAAUUUAAUUAA
Molecule: ribosomal RNA, 1313 nt
Filed under: Muscidifurax similadanacus
Lineage: Eukaryota; Metazoa; Arthropoda; Insecta; Hymenoptera; Pteromalidae
Description: 16S ribosomal RNA
Source: RNAcentral